UGGGGAAUUUUGGACAAUGGGCGCAAGCCUGAUCCAGCAAUGCCGCGUGCAGGAUGAAGGCCUUCGGGUUGUAAACUGCUUUUGUACGGAGCGAAAAGGUCUGCCCUAAUACGGUGGGCUCAUGACGGUACCGUAAGAAUAAGCACCGGCUAACUACGUGCCAGCAGCCGCGGUAAUACGUAGGGUGCGAGCGUUAAUCGGAAUUACUGGGCGUAAAGCGUGCGCAGGCGGUUAUGUAAGACAGAGGUGAAAUCCCCGGGCUCAACCUGGGAACGGCCUUUGUGACUGCAUCGCUAGAGUACGGUAGAGGGGGAUGGAAUUCCGCGUGUAGCAGUGAAGUGCGUAGAUAUGCGGAGAAACACCGAUGGCGAAGGCAAUCCCCUGGACCUGUACUGACGCUCAUGCACGAAAGCGUGGGGAGCAAA
Molecule: ribosomal RNA, 425 nt
Filed under: uncultured bacterium
Lineage: Bacteria
Description: bacterial SSU rRNA
Rfam family: Bacterial small subunit ribosomal RNA
Source: RNAcentral